GACGAACGCUGGCGGCGUGCCUAAUACAUGCAAGUAGAACGCUGAAGGAGGAGCUUGCUUCUCUGGAUGAGUUGCGAACGGGUGAGUAACGCGUAGGUAACCUGCCUGGUAGCGGGGGGUAACUAUUGGAAACGAUAGCUAAUACCGCAUAAUAGCAGUUGUUGCAUGACAACUGUUUGAAAGGUGCAAUUGCACCACUACCAGAUGGACCUGCGUUGUAUUAGCUAGUUGGUGGGGUAACGGCUCACCAAGGCGACGAUACAUAGCCGACCUGAGAGGGUGAUCGGCCACACUGGGACUGAGACACGGCCCAGACUCCUACGGGAGGCAGCAGUAGGGAAUCUUCGGCAAUGGACGGAAGUCUGACCGAGCAACGCCGCGUGAGUGAAGAAGGUUUUCGGAUCGUAAAGCUCUGUUGUAAGAGAAGAACGAGUGUGAGAGUGGAAAGUUCACACUGUGACGGUAUCUUACCGGAAAGGGACGGCUAACUACGUG
RNAcentral lists this ribosomal RNA (495 nucleotides) under uncultured bacterium. RNAcentral describes it as "partial 16S ribosomal RNA". It matches the Rfam family "Bacterial small subunit ribosomal RNA", at positions 28 to 507 of the family's 1533-position model. The record is from RNAcentral.